UUUGACUUUAAAAGUCUACUGUAAUGGGUAAAGGUCGCUCUUAACCUGGCCAUUGAGGGGCUCAGGUGAAGCAGAUGAAAAGGAGAUGAGGGGUGUGCCUCAUUGCUUCUAUCUCAAAUCAGAGAGAGCAUCAAAGAAAGUGUGGGAGUUCAGAAAGUAGGAACUCUCUCCACAUUAUUGACUCGAUUAGAUCUUGGGUAUUUA
Molecule: long non-coding RNA, 204 nt
Filed under: Lathyrus oleraceus (garden pea)
Lineage: Eukaryota; Viridiplantae; Streptophyta; Magnoliopsida; Fabales; Fabaceae
Description: Pisum sativum (pea) long non-coding RNA (PSAT_LNC030381)
Source: RNAcentral